UUGAAGAGUUUGAUCAUGGCUCAGAUUGAACGCUGGCGGCAGGCCUAACACAUGCAAGUCGAGCGGUAGCACAGAGAGCUUGCUCUCGGGUGACGAGCGGCGGACGGGUGAGUAAUGUCUGGGAAACUGCCUGAUGGAGGGGGAUAACUACUGGAAACGGUAGCUAAUACCGCAUAAUGUCGCAAGACCAAAGUGGGGGACCUUCGGGCCUCAUGCCAUCAGAUGUGCCCAGAUGGGAUUAGCUUGUAGGUGGGGUAACGGCUCACCUAGGCGACGAUCCCUAGCUGGUCUGAGAGGAUGACCAGCCACACUGGAACUGAGACACGGUCCAGACUCCUACGGGAGGCAGCAGUGGGGAAUAUUGCACAAUGGGCGCAAGCCUGAUGCAGCCAUGCCGCGUGUGUGAAGAAGGCCUUCGGGUUGUAAAGCACUUUCAGCGGGGAGGAAGGCGGUGAGGUUAAUAACCUCAUCGAUUGACGUUACCCGCAGAAGAAGCACCGGCUAACUCCGUGCCAGCAGCCGCGGUAAUACGGAGGGUGCAAGCGUUAAUCGGAAUUACUGGGCGUAAAGCGCACGCAGGCGGUCUGUCAAGUCGGAUGUGAAAUCCCCGGGCUCAACCUGGGAACUGCAUUCGAAACUGGCAGGCUAGAGUCUUGUAGAGGGGGGUAGAAUUCCAGGUGUAGCGGUGAAAUGCGUAGAGAUCUGGAGGAAUACCGGUGGCGAAGGCGGCCCCCUGGACAAAGACUGACGCUCAGGUGCGAAAGCGUGGGGAGCAAACAGGAUUAGAUACCCUGGUAGUCCACGCCGUAAACGAUGUCGAUUUGGAGGUUGUGCCCUUGAGGCGUGGCUUCCGGAGCUAACGCGUUAAAUCGACCGCCUGGGGAGUACGGCCGCAAGGUUAAAACUCAAAUGAAUUGACGGGGGCCCGCACAAGCGGUGGAGCAUGUGGUUUAAUUCGAUGCAACGCGAAGAACCUUACCUGGUCUUGACAUCCACAGAACUUAGCAGAGAUGCUUUGGUGCCUUCGGGAACUGUGAGACAGGUGCUGCAUGGCUGUCGUCAGCUCGUGUUGUGAAAUGUUGGGUUAAGUCCCGCAACGAGCGCAACCCUUAUCCUUUGUUGCCAGCGGUCCGGCCGGGAACUCAAAGGAGACUGCCAGUGAUAAACUGGAGGAAGGUGGGGAUGACGUCAAGUCAUCAUGGCCCUUACGACCGGGCUACACACGUGCUACAAUGGCAUAUACAAAGAGAAGCGACCUCGCGAGAGCAAGCGGACCUCAUAAAGUAUGUCGUAGUCCGGAUUGGGAGUCUGCAACUCGACUCCAUGAAGUCGGAAUCGCUAGUAAUCGUAGAUCAGAAUGCUACGGUGAAUACGUUCCCGGGCCUUGUACACACCGCCCGUCACACCAUGGGAGUGGGUUGCAAAAGAAGUAGGUAGCUUAACCUUCGGGAGGGCGCUUACCACUUUGUGAUUCAUGACUGGGGUGAAGUCGUAACAAGGUAACCGUAGGGGAACCUGCGGUUGGAUCACCUCCUU
This 1536-nucleotide ribosomal RNA is filed under the name Klebsiella pneumoniae. RNAcentral's name for it is "bacterial SSU rRNA". It matches the Rfam family "Bacterial small subunit ribosomal RNA". The record is from RNAcentral. Lineage: Bacteria; Pseudomonadati; Pseudomonadota; Gammaproteobacteria; Enterobacterales; Enterobacteriaceae.